This 469-nucleotide ribosomal RNA is filed under the name uncultured bacterium. RNAcentral describes it as "bacterial SSU rRNA". It matches the Rfam family "Bacterial small subunit ribosomal RNA", at positions 335 to 802 of the family's 1533-position model. The record is from RNAcentral.
ACUCCUACGGGAGGCAGCAGUGGGGAAUAUUGCACAAUGGGGAAACCCUGAUGCAGCCAUGCCGCGUGUGUGAAGAAGGCCUCGGUUGUAAGCACUUCAGUAGGGAGGAAGGUAGUGUAGUUAACACCUGCACUAUUUGACGUUACCUACAGAAGAAGCACCGGCUAACUCCGUGCCAGCAGCCGCGGUAAUACGGAGGGGUGCGAGCGUUAAUCGGAAUUACUGGGCGUAAAGCGCAUGCAGGCGGCCUGUUAAGUCAGAUGUGAAAGCCCGGGGGCUUAACCUCGGAAUUGCAUUUGAAACUGGCAGGCUAGAGUCUUGUAGAGGGGGUAGAAUUUCAGGUGUAGCGGUGAAAUGCGUAGAGAUCUGAAGGAAUACCAGUGGCGAAGGCGGCCCCCUGGACAAAGACUGACGCUCAGAUGCGAAAGCGUGGGGAGCAAACAGGAUUAGAUACCCUGGUAGACUGUCA